This 252-nucleotide ribosomal RNA is filed under the name uncultured bacterium. RNAcentral's name for it is "partial 16S ribosomal RNA". It matches the Rfam family "Bacterial small subunit ribosomal RNA", at positions 524 to 776 of the family's 1533-position model. The record is from RNAcentral.
UACGUAGGGGGCAAGCGUUGUUCGGAAUUACUGGGCGUAAAGGGCGCGUAGGCGGCACGGCAAGUCAGGAGUGAAAGGCCUGGGCUCAACCGAGGAACUGCUUUUGAGACUGCCGAGCUAGAGUGCAGAAGGGGCAACUGGAAUUCCCAGUGUAGCGGUGAAAUGCGUAGAUAUUGGGAAGAACACCUGAGGCGAAGGCGGGUUGCUGGGCUGACACUGACGCUGAGGCGCGAAAGCCAGGGAGCAAACGGG